CCUACGGGAGGCAGCAGUGGGGAAUAUUGGACAAUGGGCGAAAGCCUGAUCCAGCCAUGCCGCGUGUGUGAAGAAGGCCCUCGGGUUGUAAAGCACUUUCAGUGGGGAAGAAAGCCUUGGGAUUAAUACUCCCGAGGAAGGACAUCACCCACAGAAGAAGCACCGGCUAACUACGUGCCAGCAGCCGCGGUAAU
Molecule: ribosomal RNA, 194 nt
Filed under: uncultured bacterium
Lineage: Bacteria
Description: partial 16S ribosomal RNA
Rfam family: Bacterial small subunit ribosomal RNA
Source: RNAcentral